GACACCAGCGACCCGUGAGCAUCUUUGCUGCAUGGGGCUCCCCGGUGCCGCCCCCCCUCUACCUGCGCAGAGCCCGGCCGGCGGAUGGGAGCUCACCCGAUUCUUGCACAAGACAGCGUGGUGCCGGCUGAGCAGGUGGAUCAGGGUGUAACUCCGGGGAGUUGGGAGGUGACAGCAAGACUGACAAGCGGGACAGCGGGACAGCCAAAAUCUCUGCUACAAACUCAGCUGGGAUAUGGGAGGCUUGAGCCACAGGACUGCCUUCUGUGGAGAUCAAAGCAGGGAUGUGCAGGCGAAUUUCUGUCAGCCCAGCGACCAGCAAUGAAGAUGGCAACUCUGCCUGGAAGUGCUGAGGACACAACCAGCUUUGGGCUUGGUCCUUCUGGCCGCGGAAGUCUCCUGAUUAUGCAGUGGAGUGAUUCCAUAGGGAAUUUCAGACUCUUACUGCAGUCGUCACAACCCCUCCUGACUCACUGAGCCUUCGCUGGCUGUAGCUGGCUCCCUUGGAGCAUCCUCGCCUCCUGCAGCGCCAGUUCCGCAGAGCAGGGGAACAACAGGAAUAGCAGCAACAACGGUGGUCCCUGCAGCAAGCUGGACAGGCAUAAAUACACACACAUAUAGGAACAGUACAAGGCAGCCGCGGAGGUAAUUCUGUACAGCCAGGAGCUGGACUACGAAACGAGGCUCGGUUGCAUGGAAGACGGGUGGGUUGAGUCUGUAUUACUGAGUGCUGUCUGAACGGACAACCCUUUGCAUUUUUCCCCAUCGCAGCUGUGGGGUGGAGGACCCCAUUAAUUUGCGAAGCUCGUGCUUCUUAAUGGCAUUUCUCAGUCCUUUGGAAGGAGGUGCAACUGGCAGCCAGUAUACUUGCUCAGGCAUAUGCGUACUUUUUGAGUAUCUGUGUUCAGCGUAGGGAUGCACUUGUUGUUAGUCCUUUUGCUACCAUCUUUUUUUUGCCAUAGUGAUAGUUUAAUUGUGGCUAAAUGCAGGGAGGGUAAGGAGACAGAGAUAAAAGAGGAGUUAUUUCAAUGUUAAACUUCAGCUGAAAAUCUCAUUACUCAGGAAUUGAGGUUACUGUCAGCAGGUAAAUCUGUGGGACUGGCAAGAAACAAGGCUAAGAAGGGGACACGGCAUAUUUCUGUAGGACGGUAGCGAUUUUGCGCAUAGGGAUGGUAUUGUUACUGUAUGUGAGCUGUACAUGGCUGACUGUUCCGUAAUGGUGUUCUGCGUAUUGCCGCAAAAGGACUUGGGAAAGCUGUGAUUUCUUCCUCCCUCUGACACUUGUGUGUGUGACAUUGUGUCAGCCGAUUCAUUUUUGUGUCUUUUGGUUUCCUUCCUUUGUAAAGUGGGGUUUAUGAUAUCUCUCAGCCUUAGUGCGGCAUUAUGACGCAGUGUUCAUUAAUGCGCUGGGUCUGUUGGCAAAAUACAUGCAAUUUUCUUGGGCGUUUUGACUGAUCAAGGACUACAAAAUUUGGUAAAGGAAGUUAGGGAUUGCAAAUGCUCACGACAUAAAUUUUAAAGCAUUACUGUCUUACUCUUCUUUGAUAUUGAAGGAAGGCUCUCUGACUGAUGAGGCAGCCAUGAUCUCUUCCUGCACUUGUUUUGCCGAUGGUCAUGUUACAUCUGUGACGCAGUCCGAUUUUGCUUGUUGGUUCCUGCCUGUGCUUUACGGAGUUGAGCUGAUGAGGGCACAAGCUUGAAUACGGUUAGGAACAUUAAUUUAAUAUUGAUGUUGAAGUUUGCAACCAUACCUGAAGUGGCAGGGAUAUCGGCAUCCACCUAUUUCACCACCCACAAACGGUGAAGGAAUUCGAAUGAACACAACAGCACCCCUAGCCAUUUUGUUGCUCGCAGAGUAGACUCUAAGCCUGCAGCGCUGCUGCUGCUGCUGUUAAUUUCCAUGUCAUACAAAUACAGCAUGGGGCUCUGUGUCAGGAGCUUUACUGAUGCUGUGAGAACCUUAAAGUCUACGAGCAAAUGUUUUUCUUUUCUUAUUUGGGAAAAUUCAUUAAAAUGUCCAAAUACCAAGUAUUCUACCUUCACUCCUCUUACAAAUCACUUCCAGACCUAUCCAGAAAAUUCACUGAUGCUGUGUAGUUUUUCCAAAACUUGUUCACGGUGUUUUCUUAAGGUUUAAUAUGGGUGUGGCUGGGGGGGGCGGGUAAGAUUUAAGUCAGUUAAGUAUCUCUAUCGCUGAUGCUAAUGGACAAAGAUGUAGGCAAGAGAUAGGAGUUGCCCGUAUCCUCUAUGUAUCUGUAUGUAGAUAUAGAUAGUCCCAAGCCUAGAUUGCGAAGAUGCCCUUGUUAUGGAACAAGAAGGGAGUACUCUAUUCUGUUCUCACCCACCCAAAAGUUUUGGUGCAAAGGCGGCAGUAGAAAUGGCCAACGUGGGAAUCUCUCAAAAUGGUUUCAACAGCAUUCAGAGAUGCCAGAGCCGUUUAUACUGGCACGGCUCCGAGAGAGGUACUGUGAGCUGCCUGCUGCAAGGUCAUUCCCCUGACUCACUGUCAGCGACCAGUUGGUUCGGGAACUCCCAGUCCACAUUUCUUACAAUUGUGGCAGUGCUGAGUCCUGAGCCUGGAGGUGAGGCUUGAAAAUUAAUGCUACUGCAGUAGUGGGCCACUGAGUCCAAAAGUGUAGAUCCAAAACAUCCUGCAUCUCUCAAGCGUUUUAAAAUCCCUAUCUAUAAUUUGUUUCUUGAGCUAACUACAAAAACUUUGCACUAGUUCCCUCAUCCCCUUUUUCCCCAAGACUUCCUCUGGACUGCUGGGAAUCAGGAGUGGCAUGCAUUUAAGGAAUAGUCAUCAACUUACACUGUGUUCCAGAAAAAAAAAUAUGAAAAAAGUGUCUGCAUAUAUUUGCAUUUCUGUUCCUGUAGUCGUUAUCAGGUGGACUCCGCAGGCUGCUCUAAGUUCACCACCACAUCUGUGAAGCUAGUGUUGUCUCCCGUGAGCUUUCAGUUUCAGGAACCUCAGCCCAAUAGCUGUCUUGUCCCCUCCCAGGUUUCCACAUUUUUCUCCGGUGUUCCUAUUUGUCCAUGUCACUAGUAUUUUCAGUUGACACAGGGCAACAUCAACCAUGCGUAUGUUAGGGCUGGCUCUAGUCUUCUCAGCUUCAUAGGCAGCAGUGGAGUGGUUAAUGCCCCAAGGAUCUUGAGCAAAAUAACCUAUUUUGUCCCCAUCUUUGCAAUAACAAAGUUCAAUUUGGGGGCAUGUUAUCUGCCUCCUUUCCAACAGAGAGGAACGUGGGGGCCAGUGCAGGCCAAGCACGGACACGAGUGGAUCCUUCCUGCUAGCCUACCUACCUGUUUUGCUAGCCGACCUCCCCAAGCCUCCAGCCCUGGGCAGCUUCCUGCCCUGACCGUGCUUAAAGUCAGUCUUAGCCACCAGUAUCGUUAUUCUCUAGUUUUCAAAGGGAAAGAACCUGGCUGCUAAUCCUGAUGCCAGUGACGACUCUUCGCCUACAGGGAGGCAUAUGUGAUAGCUUGUCUGCUAAAAACUGAGCCAACACAGUGUGAUUCAGACCCUAAGCUUUCCAAGGAAGAGAGCUAUUUCUGAGUUAAGCACAUCUCUUCAGCUCCCCACACAAACACUUUAUCCAGUGCAAAUGGUGCAUAGUAGGUGUCCAUCAGCAGCCACUGGUUUUGUAUUCAGAUAUACAGCUUAAAUGCUUCUUAAACAUUGACGAUGGCUCUCAAACAUACAGUGAAGUUUCAGUGAUAGACAGAAUGACGGAAAUCCUGGGAACAGGUACAAACCAAACAGCUCACGUGCUCAGGGGAGUCAGCCAGGAGUUUGGUCAAUGCUUUUCUCCAGCUUUUUUGACAGGUCCUUGCUACUGUGGAUAGCGUUAAGAUAUGGCAGGGUACUGAAGGCAUGUUUUCAAACGUCCGGUUUAAGGGCAGGUUAUACUUCAGUGAACAUCUGGCAGUAUUUGUUUCCUUAUGCUCUUCCCUGGCACAGGACAUUCUUUUGUCUCUUAAAUGACACAAAGAAAAAUAUGACUUCCCUUGACAUUACCUAAAGUAGUGGGAAUGGUAGUGUUGGGGGAACACCAUGUUCCUGAACUGACUAUACAAAUCACAACAAUAAUCUCUCUGUGACUGCCUUCAAGAGCUGCAAUCAAUACUUUAUAUUCUAAGGUGAUGCUUAAGUACAGAAGCUAGGAACAGAAAAUUACUUUUCUGGUUUCAGCUACUUUGGUGGAUAAUUUUUUUUAGCGUAGUUAGUUUUGUAACGUGCUGUUCAGUCAAGCUGUGUAUGGCUAAAUUUGAUGAGUUUUCAGUGCUGCAACUUCCUACUGCUCUUCCAUGACCUGGGUCAUGUAAGCGCGAUGCUUUUCUUCCCCUGUAAGUUUGCCCAGUUUCACCUCAUCGUUCCUUGUGAAAUCUGAAAUCCUCAAUAGGAUUCAGUGGUUCAGUAGUUCCUGUGCCCUCCGAACAGGCUGUGGUUUUGCCUAGGAACUCCCAUGAAAUCAAAGGUGGAAGAAAACUGUAUGACUCCAGGCAAAUCAAAGCAAUUUCAGAUGAGCAGACGGGAAGCAGAAGAUUAGAAAUUGUAGCCCUAGUAUCUAGCGCUCCUAGAAUGGUCACCAUGCUAAAAUCUCUCCCUUCAGUUCAGAAUAGCUUUGGGGCAAGCAAUAGCAAAUAGCAAGUAAGUGUUAUAUUUUACUUAUCAGUCUGAAACGAAGUUCUGGAUUUAAAAAAAAGGUCUUGUGAAUAAAUCCUAAUUAUUUUAGUGAUGUCGUGCUGUUAUGAACUAUCUCCAAGUUUCUCCAAAAGAUGUGUAAUCUGCAAAUUAAAGGUCUCUUGCACUUUUUUUAGCCUACUCUGUUAGACCCAAGCACCACAGAAAACGUGGAUCAGUAUGGCAGAACCACGAAAAGAAGGCUGCUAUGGCCCAUCACAUCACCCAGUGUGCCUGGGUCAAUGCUAGUGUUGAACUAUCUUGCCCUCAAAAUGAGGUUCAUUGCAUCCAAACCACCAAUACCUGCUUGCCAAUGCUGACUGCUAGACCGUGGCUCAGCAUUGUUUAGGAGAAUCCUGGCUGGCACCAAACCGGGUGGGAAAGAACUCUAUCAAAACUCAUCCAAAACUCACCCAAAGCAGCAAGAGUUAACCACACGCUAGUGUGCCUUCAGUGAGGCCACCAUGCAAAGAGAAGAGGCCAAGCUGCACCUCUCAGACCUCAUCACAAGCCAAAUUUCAGCCAUCACUGACACUGCCAAUCACCUGGCCUGCGCUAAAUUAUCUGGAAAAGAGCUGCUUCUCCCUACGUUAAACAAAUGAGCAAACAAAAACCUGGCCUUCCCCUCACCCCCAAACCCUUGAACAAUUGGACCAUUUUAAAAAAUGGGUUAGAAUGAUAGGCAGCUUGGUGACAGUUCAGCACAGUUAGACAAAUGCUAGUGAGUGCUCUGACAGAUUACCCUUAAUAGGAAUUGAAAUUAGUGACUCAAAUGUCAAGCAGGCCUGACUGUCCCAUUGCUCAGAGCUGAACGGGACAAAAGGCUGUACAGGCUUUUACCUGCAGCAUGCCAUACUCCGGUGUUCAGACUACCUUUGGGUUUUGGGGGUGGGGGGGCAGAGAGCACAAGGGUUGCAGACCCAGAGCGCCUGGCUUUUAACUUUACUAUUUACACUGCAAUUGUAAGGCUACGAUAGUAGGACUAAUGGAAUAGACUAUGUUCACCCAGGAAUGUGAUCUGGAGUUUUUAUUCUGGUCCUAAUCAAGAAAAAAAAAAAAAAUCUCCAUUUUGCUUUAAAUUCAUGAGGGAAGUACAUGUUUUUGCUGCCCAUAAUAGCAGCAGCAUCUCUAGAGCCAUCUUCUAGUCACAAUCAUCAACUCCACUAAGCCAUGCAGCAUCUCCCCUACCUUCCUCGGCCUAGGUCAGUGCUACUGCUGACACAGAAAGCGUUACACACUAAUGGCUGGCUGCAAGUUAGGGCACAUUUGUCCAUACCUGACCUACGCAACACCACACAGUAACAGAACUGCACAACAAACAGAUGCAGUUACACGCUCCCCCGGGCUGAGGAAGCCUUUUUGAAACCUUAGAAGUUCACUCAUUUCAAUUCCCCUUACAGGUCACCACUUGUACUGUCACACCCCUCUGUCCUGCACCUGGCCACGGUCUGACUCAUUCCUUGACUGUGGGGAUGAUGCAUCGACCUCAGAUUUUCUGCAUGUAAAACGGGAAUAUUUUCUCCAGGGGAGACCAGACUCUGACGAACCACGAGUUUCACUCCGCGAUUUGAAAAUGGAGGAAAAAAAUUAUGAUGCACACAGGGUCACGCAGAGAUCUGUUUUGCUUACUGUGGAAGCCCAAGAAAUGCCUUAAUUUAUAAGCUGUAGGUUGUGAAAAAUCGGGUCUGUGACAUCCCAGCUUGCCUUGUUCCUGCAGACUAGAUUAAAGGUCUUAGGCUAGGGAGGAAGUUCCCUUUCACGGGGGAGGCAGGGAUUUCUUCCCUUUUUGCCUUUGUCUCAUGUAGAAGGUAUAAAGCAGUGUGAAGCCUGUGCAAGGCUUUGAGAUGUUCCUCUGAAAGAAGCUACAGAACAGCACUGCUACUAAAACGUGUCUGAAAAAGGGGGAAAAAAGCAGAAUGAUAAUACUGUACUUUUUCUAUUAUUUAUUGAAAACUCCACAACACUUUGACAAAGCCAACUAGAGCUGAUAGUAUUUGCUUGUCUCCACACAUAUGUGUGUAUGUGCGUGUCCUUAUGUAGACAUUCAACACACACCAGCAAAUGUUUGAGACAAGCACUGGUUUCUUUUUCUGCAUGUGUGCAUAUUAAUAGUUGGUGCUGCGUAUCACAGCAUCUUGAACUGCUCUCUUUUUUUUCUCCUCCCCUCCGCGUGCUGCCUGCCCAAGCAUGCUAUUAGGUUUGGAAAGAACAGCAUACACUGUCACAGAUGUAUCCUUCAUAAAAGGUGUACCUGCAGUUUGGCAGAAAGCGCUGACACCUUCUGGCUGCUUGGAAGGAAGGGGAGCUUGUUAAGGCAUAGGACAAUCUUCAGGUAGCCUGGAGGAGGGGCAGCAGCAUCUUAAUUAUGCUGAAGUGAAACCUGGUUUUGUCAAGCUAUAAAUAAUGAAUGAGCUAUUGGUCUUCAACUGCUGCAUGAUAUUUCCGGAGAGGGAAGGGGAAGGUAUGCAUAGGUGUUCGGACUCUGGAAGUCUCACACCUCUACAGAAGCUCCCAUUUUCAGCAGCACAAACAUAAGUGACAUUUCCACCAACUGUUUUUGAAAACCCUAAUAAAGAUUUCUUUUUAC
Molecule: long non-coding RNA, 7271 nt
Organism: Pygoscelis adeliae (Adelie penguin)
Lineage: Eukaryota; Metazoa; Chordata; Aves; Sphenisciformes; Spheniscidae
Exons: 4
Source: RefSeq, a predicted model, not a curated record